ACUCAAAGGAAUUGACGGGGGCUCACACAAGCGGUGGAGCAUGUGGCUUAAUUCGAGGCUACGCGAAGAACCUUAUCCUGGGCUUGACAUGUCCGCAAGGGUGUAGACGUAGGGGACGGAAACGCACCCCCACAGGUACCCAAUCCUGAGCUACACACAGGUGCUGCAUGGCUGUCGUCAGCUCGUGUCGUGAGAUGUCGGGUUAAGUCCCAUAACGAGCGAAACCCCUGUCUCCAGUUGCUAACCCGCAAGGGAGGACUCUGGAGAGACUGCCGGUGUCAAACCGGAGGAAGGUGGGGAUGACGUCAAGUCCUCAUGGCCUUUAUGCCCAGGGCUGCACACGUGCUACAAUGGCGCGCACAGAGGGAAGCAAACGCGCGAGCGGGAGCAAAACCCAAAAAACGCGCCCCAGUUCAGAUUGAAGGCUGCAACUCGCCUUCAUGAAGUUGGAAUCGCUAGUAAUCGCGGGUCAGCAACACCGCGGUGAAUGUGUUCCUGAGCCUUGCACACACCGCCCGU
This 519-nucleotide ribosomal RNA is filed under the name uncultured bacterium. RNAcentral's name for it is "partial 16S ribosomal RNA". It matches the Rfam family "Bacterial small subunit ribosomal RNA", at positions 899 to 1397 of the family's 1533-position model. The record is from RNAcentral.